RNAcentral lists this ribosomal RNA (209 nucleotides) under uncultured bacterium. RNAcentral's name for it is "partial 16S ribosomal RNA". It matches the Rfam family "Bacterial small subunit ribosomal RNA", at positions 524 to 732 of the family's 1533-position model. The record is from RNAcentral.
UACGAAGGGGGCUAGCGUUGUUCGGAAUUACUGGGCGUAAAGCGCGCGCAGGCGGUUCUUCAAGUCAGAGGUGAAAGCCCAGAGCUCAACUCUGGAAUGGCCUUUGAGACUAGAGAACUUGGGUACGGGAGAGGUGAGUGGAAUUCCGAGUGUAGAGGUGAAAUUCGUAGAUAUUCGGAAGAACACCAGUGGCGAAGGCGGCUCACUGG